AAAAAAAAAGACAGACGGACAAGACGAAGCUAAAUGAAGGACAGGGAGGAAAAUUAGUGUAAACAAUAUUGGUAGUAAGCUUAGUUCUAGCUGGUAGAGCGGAAUAGUAGGCUACAGACUACGUUUGUUUAUUUUCCGAUCGUGAUUAGUGUUCAGUGUCUGUAACAAAGUUACCGUUGUAGCUAGAAGCUACAUUGAUCAGCUGGGUCCCGUAUAGCGGAGCGCUAACGUUACAGUGGACAUCGGCGAGAACUUGUAUUAAGCUGCAUAGGCUAUUUAGGCCUAUAUAAGAGCUACGUGACAAGGACUAACCUCGGUAGGCUACGGAUCAAUUUAAUUUUCUGGAGAGUAAGCUACAGUUUAUUGUUCACGUCGAGGCGUCCGGCUAACUAGCCCAUCUAAGGAAUCAGAAGAGUCCCACCGUAUCCCCUGGCAACCACAGGAGUCGUGGCUUCUCUCCCCUGCCAUCCAUCCCUGACGUCUGCGAGUGACCCAUCGAGUAGGGUCCGUCUGCGGCAUGGGCGUGUCCGUCAUUAAACAAGAACGCCCAUUGGGCGUUCCUGGUACUGCAGCAUCGACCAAUCACGAAGAGCUUCAAGUGACGCUGGCCCUGUAGGACAAGCUGGCGGACCCCUCCCACCCUCUCAAGCAAGCAGUGAAAGCCCUGCAGGACAAGCUGGCG
Molecule: long non-coding RNA, 682 nt
Organism: Alosa alosa (allis shad)
Lineage: Eukaryota; Metazoa; Chordata; Actinopteri; Clupeiformes; Clupeidae
Exons: 3
Source: RefSeq, a predicted model, not a curated record